UGUACUGGCAGAGAGUUGAGUACUGUCUGGACUUUGGUAUUGUUAUUUUUAUGAGACAUCGCCUCUCUGGUAUUUUGUAAAUACACUUCCCUAAGCUUUUGACUGGUUUAAUAAAGAACUGUCUAUAGCUAGGCGGGAGAGGAAAUGCAGGAAUCUGGGCAGAGACAGGAACUGUGGAAAGAACUGAGAGGCAUUGAUUUGCCAGGCAGACAUGGAGGAAGUUGGACAUACUGGGACUGAGGAGAGGUAACAGGCCACGAGGCAAAUUCGGAAUUGUAUAAAUGGGUUAAUUAAGUUAUAUGAGUUAGUUGGGAAAUAGCCUAAGCUAAGACCUAAGCUUUCAUGGAUAAUAUGUCUCCAUGUCUUUAUUUCAUUCACAGGUGGUCCAAAGAAGUCUGUCGAUAAAUGGCACCCAAUAUGGAGCGUGAACCCAUGACCCUGGGAUUAAGACUCAUGCUUUACUGAGUUAGCUGGGUGGGAGGCUAGGUCCCUUUAAGAGAGAGAGCAGAGGCCUGUGAGCAGCAGGUAGUGAGUGGGGAACUGGAGCCUCAGUGUACCCUUGCCAGCGCCCCCCACCCCCACAGGCGAGCAGCUUCCCGGGCUCUGGUGUUUGCACUGUGGCCAGCAGGAGUGUGGGCCUGCCACAGUACAGGCCCAGCGACAGCUCAGAGCUGGAGUGGGUAGGCGCAGCUCCUCGGCGGUGCCUGCAGUAGGGCAAACAGUAGCUCCAGCUCCUAAACCAGCAAGGACAGCCCACGAGGCAGAGCUGAAGGGGAGAACCAACCUCUAGACACACAAGCUGGUCUGAGGAGCCCUGAGAUGCACAGAGAGGCAGAAGGAACAUUUUUCCUGAAGCUGAGGGGAGUGUGUUGCACUCUUUUUCAAACUCAUUUUAUUUGGGGUAUUUUAGUCUCUACCUCCCUUCCGCCAACCCUUUAGCCCCAGAUAAGAGAGAGGAGGUUAGUAGGGAGAGGGGCCGCAGACUUCUCCUGACUGUUGAGGGUCAAUGGGUUCUUCUGGAGCUAUACCAACCCACACCAACAGCAAAUGCAGCAAGCAGGCUCUUCUAUGUCCUCCAAGCCAGUGUGCUGAGACAUUUCUCUCCUCUGUCUCUUCCAGGCCAGUGUGCUGAAACAUUUCUCUCCUCUGUCUCUUCCAGGCCAGUGUGCUGAGACAUUUCUUCCUGUCUGUCUCCUCCCAGCCACUACACCGUUCAUCUCUGGUCUCUCCAAACUGCCAACACUUCUUUUUGGGCUCUCAUAUUGAUUACAUUCCUCAGAGCCCUAGACCACGCACGAGGCAGGGUGUUACCAGCUGGCAAAGACCACGCCCCACAGGAGGCAGUUAUCAGCUGUGGACAAACUAAACCCAAGCUAAAAUCCCACACGGGAUUAAGACAAAAACAUAUUUUCACAAAAUAACUGAGUGUUUAAAAAACUAAAACUUCCAUUGCAGAGGUAGGGGAGGAGGGGGAUGGGAAAGGACCGUGGGACUGAGAAGCCCCAAACGUCUAAACUACUAAGGUAGUAAGUCUGAAAACAGAGAAAGAAACUGUUAAAAAAAAAUCAUUGAAAGAAAUAAUUGAUUUGAAAAUACUAAAGUGAAGUCUCUAAAGGAAGGAGAGAGAGACUAAAACUUUUUUUCUGUGUUAAAAGAUGGAGAAUAGAAUGGCAGAGAGCAUUUAGAUUGUGUAUAAUUUUGUUUUGAUUUCAUCGUAAAAAUAAUUACAUAUUCAGUAAUGGUUACAAUUUUACAUAGCCUCUUUAAGAAAAAGCUGAGCAAAGUAGACUUAGUCAAGGAAAGGACUGAGGACCGGAUUACUAGAUUAAAGGCUAUAGAAUGGAGAUUCGACAAUUCUUUAAAUCAGAAUAAAGAAUCUUCAGAAGAAUCUAAUCUGGAACCUACAGUGACAGCAAAAAAGGUAGUUCCAGGUGAGAGAAAUCCACUAAGGCUUGAGGAAUUUGGAUGGCAGCCCACAGACGUGCUAGACUUAAGAGUUUAAAGAAGCAAUAAUGUCUUAUGGCUGUAUUUAACUUACGUUAAACAGAUACUUAAUAAUUGGCCCAUGCAAAAUCAUAUAAUUCUAAAAUAUUGGAGAGAUUUGAUGAUAGCCAUAUUAAAACCUGGCCCUCAACUGCAAAGGCUAACAUGGUGGAAAGAUGAGGCUUCAAUUAUGGAGCAAUGAAACAGGACUAGGGGCGUUGAUAUGGUCAAGGAGCAGUUAUAGUUGAAGGUCAGUCUUCUUUUUUUUUAAAUUAUUUAUUUAUUUAUUUUGCAUAUAAGUGUGCUCUAUCUGUAGAUCAUUUGCAUGACAGAGGAGGGCAUCAGAUUCCAGUAUAGAUGGUUGUGAGCCACCAUGUGGAUGCUGGGAAUUGAACUCAGGACCUCUGGAAGGACAGACAAUGCUCUUAACCUCUGAGCCACGUCUCCAGCCCUGAAGUGAGGCACAUGUGCUUCUUGAAGGACCCCCACUGUACAUCAAAGAUGAUGGGCAUCAAGGAACCUCCAUAUGGAGUUUGCUUCAAAAGUGGCACUACCAGCUACUGAGCAGAAAUCUGCCCUUUCCUCAACUUCUGACAACAUGCUGGACGAACUGUGGACAAGCAGGGCACUGGGAAGUCAACUACUCAACUUUGCCAAGACAAGGGCUAACUGUAACAUCCAGUGGAAAACUCAUCCAGCGAGACCAGGAGCCUUGCCUAGCUUGCACUGGCCUCAACCUUGAUUGCUCUGUCCAUUCCUGAGAGAAACUGAACCUUUGAUCUCAGGGUCCCUCCGCCCUUCACCUGCAAGUUGAUAGCUGCAUUCCAGACUACCACUGGAUGAAGACUGAAAGCUUGCUCUGCACUUCCUGUUUACUCCGUCCAAAGAAGGUCCUGUUGUAGUCUCUUCCUAGAGCCUGAGCAAUGCCAGCAAUGCCAAAAAACCAAACAAGAAGUGAUGGCGCACGUCUUCGGUCCCAGCACUUGGGAGGCAAUGGCAGAGGCAGGCUGGUUUCUGGGAGUUCAAGGUCAGCCUGAUCUACACAAUUUGACCCUUCAUGUGUGUGUGUGUGUCUGUGUAUAUGUUGUGGGGGUUAACAAAAUAAAAGACAAGAUGUUGGAAUCAA
This is a long non-coding RNA of Meriones unguiculatus (Mongolian gerbil), 3109 nucleotides long. RefSeq lists it as uncharacterized. The transcript is spliced from 4 exons. Lineage: Eukaryota; Metazoa; Chordata; Mammalia; Rodentia; Muridae. The record is from RefSeq and is a predicted model, not a curated record.